AUUUUGCUGGAGGUUCCUAUUUACAUGAGGCCUUCCAAAGGCACCCAGUGAGUGUGAAGAGCACACGGGGAAAACCGAAGUUAGGAGUAAUAGGACAGUGCAUGCUUUCCAGAAGAAGCCUCAGCUGCAGGGCUGGCAAGGAGUAACGAACUGCUAUGCACAGAAAGAGAAGCUCCCUGUGAUCCAGCUGGAAUCUGAGCUGCUGUGCAGAACUACUGCAGUGUUGGACAGGUCUGUUCUGCACCCAAAAAUGCUCGAAUGUACCAGGGGAUGGGAGAUAAUCUGGAGAUGUCUGUCUUCAAUGAACUGGAGAAACUUAUUUGUUUUACUGAAGACAAGACUAAUUCAGAUUUGGCAGCCAUCCCACUCAGAGGCAGGCACUUAGCCCCCAGCUGUGCUUUCCUUGCCAAGACCUAUAUGAAAUGUUACUACACAAACAGAGAAUCAAUAAUGUCAAACAGUAUUUGUAAGUUUUAUGUAGGUUGUAUAAUUCUUU
Molecule: non-coding RNA, 496 nt
Organism: Phasianus colchicus (ring-necked pheasant)
Lineage: Eukaryota; Metazoa; Chordata; Aves; Galliformes; Phasianidae
Source: RefSeq, a predicted model, not a curated record